AGCAGACGGUGAAUCAGGAUGAACAUCAGCAGCAAGUGUACUCCUCUCUUCUUCAUGGUGAUCGUUGUGUCUAUGAGACAAUCAGAGGCUCUGAAAACACUGAAAAUGGACAACGUGGUGACCCAGAGGAGAGCUCUGACUACUAUAAUGUGAAUCCAAAUUCAGCCACAGCUCUAAAAUCUUAACAGCAGCUCUUUAGCUGUUUUUAUCUUUUUCUCUUUAAAGGAACUUAAAAACUUGACGUCACUUUGAGUGAAAAGGAGCAGAUUUUUCAUUCAAAGCAAUGAUCCUGAUAGCCUGAGUUUAUAUUUCCUUCAGAAAGAACCCCUCAGUGUGUUUCACUCGUUUAUCUUCCUUUAAUCAGGGGUGUCCAAACUACGGCUCAUGGGCCAAACAUGGCCUAUGCUCAGAUUUUUUU
Archocentrus centrarchus (flier cichlid) is the source of this 418-nucleotide long non-coding RNA. RefSeq lists it as uncharacterized. The record is from RefSeq and is a predicted model, not a curated record. The transcript has 3 exons. NCBI's taxonomy places the organism in Eukaryota, Metazoa, Chordata, Actinopteri, Cichliformes, Cichlidae.